CCUACGGGCGGCACCAGUGAGGAAUAUUGCGCAAUGGAGGAAACUCUGACGCAGCAACGCCGCGUGGGAGAUGAAGUUCUAUGGAGCGUAAACCCCUGUAAGCAGGGACGAACGGCAGGUAUUCGAACAGGAUACCUGUAUGACGGUACCUGCAGAGUAAGCUCCGGCUAACUCCGUGCCAGCAGCCGCGGUAAUACGGGGGGAGCAAGCGUUGUCCGGAACUACUGGGCGUAAAGGGCGUGUAGGCGGUUUAAUAAGUCAGAUGUAAAAGCCCCCGGCUCAACCGGGGAUGGUCAUUUGGAACUGUUAGGCUUGAGUGCGAGAGAGGGUAGUGGAAUUCCCAGUGUAGCGGUGAAAUGCGUAGAUAUUGGGAAGAACACCAGUAGCGAAGGCGGCUACCUGGCUCGCAACUGACGCUAAGGCGCGAAAGCGUGGGGAGCAAACAGGAUUAGAUACCCCUGUAGUC
This 466-nucleotide ribosomal RNA is filed under the name uncultured bacterium. Its description in RNAcentral is "bacterial SSU rRNA". It matches the Rfam family "Bacterial small subunit ribosomal RNA", at positions 338 to 795 of the family's 1533-position model. The record is from RNAcentral.